AAGUCGUAACAAGGUUUCCGUAGGUGAACCUGCGGAAGGAUCAUUACCGAGUGCGGGCCCUCGCGGCCCAACCUCCCACCCUUGUCUCUAAUACACCUGUUGCUUUGGCGGGCCCACCGGGGCCACCUGGUCGCCGGGGGACGCACGUCCCCGGGCCCGCGCCCGCCGAAGCGCUCUGUGAACCCUGAUGAAGAUGGGCUGUCUGAGUACUGUGAAAAAUUGUCAAAACUUUCAACAAUGGAUCUCUUGGUUCCG
This 255-nucleotide unclassified non-coding RNA is filed under the name Talaromyces sayulitensis. RNAcentral describes it as "partial internal transcribed spacer region". The stretch from base 1 to 46 matches the Rfam family "Eukaryotic small subunit ribosomal RNA", at positions 1786 to 1831 of the family's 1831-position model. The record is from RNAcentral. Lineage: Eukaryota; Fungi; Ascomycota; Eurotiomycetes; Eurotiales; Trichocomaceae.